AAUCCUGGGUAAUUGCGGCCGGCUUAAGUCGGCUGAGGAAAGUCCAUUCUCGCACAGGCUGCGAUGCCUGUAGUGUUCGUGGUCGGUGAAAAAAUAAGCCGGCGGACGUGAGCAAUCACGUUACGGCGGGGGAAAACGACUAAGGCUUCGGCUAUGUCUGAGUACCCCUGAAAAGUGCCACAGUGACGAUACGUCUAGGGAAACCUAGGCGGUGGAACGCGGUAAACCCCUCGAGCGGGAAACCCAAACUUUGGUAGGGGAGCUUCACGUCAGGAAUUGAACGAUGCGUGGGGCAAGCAGAGAUGCUUGAGAUAGAUGAUUACCGCUGUGCGUCAGCUGCCUGAGUUAGCGUAGAGUACAAAACAUGGCUUACAGGG
Molecule: RNase P RNA, 377 nt
Filed under: Levilactobacillus suantsaii
Lineage: Bacteria; Bacillati; Bacillota; Bacilli; Lactobacillales; Lactobacillaceae
Description: Lactobacillus suantsaii RNase P RNA component class B
Rfam family: Bacterial RNase P class B
About the family: Ribonuclease P (RNase P) is a ubiquitous endoribonuclease, found in archaea, bacteria and eukarya as well as chloroplasts and mitochondria.
Source: RNAcentral